AGAGUUUGAUCCUGGCUCAGGACGAACGCUGGCGGCGUGCCUAAUACAUGCAAGUUGAACGCAACAAAGACACCAGAGCUUGCUCUACCGUCUUUGUUGAGUAGCGAACGGGUGAGUAACGCGUGGGUAACCUGCCUUAUAGCGGGGGAUAACUAUUGGAAACGAUAGCUAAUACCGCAUAACAAUAGAGAUUGCAUAAUCUUUAUUUGAAAGUGCCAACUGGUACACUAUGAGAUGGACCCGCGUUGUAUUAGCUAGUUGGUAGUGUAAUGGACUACCAAGGCGAUGAUACAUAGCCGACCUGAGAGGGUGAUCGGCCACAUUGGGACUGAGACACGGCCCAAACUCCUACGGGAGGCAGCAGUAGGGAAUCUUCGGCAAUGGACGAAAGUCUGACCGAGCAACGCCGCGUGAGUGAAGAAGGUUUUCGGAUCGUAAAACUCUGUUGUUAGAGAAGAAUGUUGAUUAGAGUGGAAAAUUAAUCAAGUGACGGUAUCUAACCAGAAAGGGACGGCUAACUACGUGCCAGCAGCCGCGGUAAUACGUAGGUCCCGAGCGUUGUCCGGAUUUAUUGGGCGUAAAGCGAGCGCAGGUGGUUUAAUAAGUCUGAUGUAAAAGGCAGUGGCUCAACCAUUGUGUGCAUUGGAAACUGUUAGACUUGAGUGCAGUAGAGGAGAGUGGAAUUCCAUGUGUAGCGGUGAAAUGCGUAGAUAUAUGGAGGAACACCGGUGGCGAAAGCGGCUCUCUGGACUGUCACUGACACUGANGCUCGAAAGCGUGGGUAGCAAACAGGAUUAGAUACCCUGGNAGUCCACGCCGUAAACGAUGAGUGCUAGUUGUUUGGGGCUAUCCAGCCCUAAGUGACGCAGCAAACGCAUUAAGCACUCCG
Molecule: ribosomal RNA, 889 nt
Filed under: uncultured bacterium
Lineage: Bacteria
Description: bacterial SSU rRNA
Rfam family: Bacterial small subunit ribosomal RNA
Source: RNAcentral